This 465-nucleotide ribosomal RNA is filed under the name uncultured bacterium. RNAcentral's name for it is "partial 16S ribosomal RNA". It matches the Rfam family "Bacterial small subunit ribosomal RNA", at positions 28 to 507 of the family's 1533-position model. The record is from RNAcentral.
GACGAACGCUGGCGGCGUGCUUAACACAUGCAAGUCGAGCGAGGCCCCUCCUUCGGGAGGGUGUCCUAGCGGCGAACGGGUGAGUAACACGUGGGCAACCUGCCCUCAGCUCUGGGAUAACUCCGGGAAACCGGGGCUAAUACCGGAUACGACCUCCACGGGCAUCUGCGGAGGUGGAAAGUUUUUCGGCUGAGGAUGGGCCCGCGGCCUAUCAGCUAGUUGGUGGGGUAGUGGCCCACCAAGGCGACGACGGGUCGCCGGCCUGAGAGGGCGACCGGCCACCCUGGGACUGAGACACGGCCCAGACUCCUACGGGAGGCAGCAGUGGGGAAUAUUGCGCAAUGGGCGAAAGCCUGACGCAGCGACGCCGCGUGAGGGACGAAGGCCUUCGGGUUGUAAACCUCUUUCGGCAGGGACGAAGCGAAAGUGACGGUACCUGCAGAAGAAGCACCGGCCAACUACGUG